ACCGGCAAACGGGUGCGCAACACGUACAGAACCUUCCUUUAAGCGGGGGAUAGCCCGGAGAAAUCCGGAUUAAUACCCCAUAGUAAUGUUGGGUGGCAUCAUUUGACAUUUAAAGAUUUAUCACUUAAAGAUGGGUGUGCGUCUGAUUAGGUAGUUGGUUGAGGUAACGGCUCACCAAGCCAGCGAUCAGUAACUGGUGUGAGAGCACGACCAGUCACACGGGCACUGAGACACGGGCCCGACUCCUACGGGAGGCAGCAGUAAGGAAUAUUGGUCAAUGGAGGCAACUCUGAACCAGCCAUGCCGCGUGAAGGAUGAAGGUCCUCUGGAUUGUAAACUUCUUUUAUGUGGGAAGAANGCAUUCUUUAUAGAGUGUUUGACGGU
Molecule: ribosomal RNA, 384 nt
Filed under: uncultured bacterium
Lineage: Bacteria
Description: bacterial SSU rRNA
Rfam family: Bacterial small subunit ribosomal RNA
Source: RNAcentral